AGUGAACGCUGGCGGUAGGCCUAACACAUGCAAGUCGAACGGCAGCACAGUAAGAGCUUGCUCUUACGGGUGGCGAGUGGCGGACGGGUGAGGAAUACAUCGGAAUCUACUUUUUCGUGGGGGAUAACGCAGGGAAACUUACGCUAAUACCGCAUACGACCUACGGGUGAAAGCAGGGGAUCUUCGGACCUUGCGCGAUUGAAUGAGCCGAUGUUGGAUUAGCUAGUUGGCGGGGUAAAGGCCAACCGAGGCGACGAUCCGUAGCCAGUCUGAGAGGAUGGUUAGCCACACUGGAACUGAGCCACCUUCCGGACUCCUGCGGGAGGCAGCAGUGGGGAAUAUUAGACAAUGGGCGUAAACCUGAUCCAGCGAUACCGCGUGGGUGAAGAAGGCGUUCGGGUUGUAAAGCCCUCUUGUUGGGAAAGAAAAGCAGCAGGUUAAUACCCCGCUGUUCUGACGGUACCCAGAGAAUAAGCACCGGCUAACUUCGUG
This 492-nucleotide ribosomal RNA is filed under the name uncultured bacterium. RNAcentral describes it as "partial 16S ribosomal RNA". It matches the Rfam family "Bacterial small subunit ribosomal RNA", at positions 29 to 507 of the family's 1533-position model. The record is from RNAcentral.